RNAcentral lists this transfer RNA (70 nucleotides) under Urocitellus parryii (Arctic ground squirrel). RNAcentral's name for it is "Spermophilus parryii (Arctic ground squirrel) tRNA". It matches the Rfam family "tRNA". Rfam says of the family: Transfer RNA (tRNA) molecules are approximately 80 nucleotides in length. Their secondary structure includes four short double-helical elements and three loops (D, anti-codon, and T loops). Further hydrogen bonds mediate the characteristic L-shaped molecular structure. tRNAs have two regions of fundamental functional importance: the anti-codon, which is responsible for specific mRNA codon recognition, and the 3' end, to which the tRNAs corresponding amino acid is attached (by aminoacyl-tRNA synthetases). tRNAs cope with the degeneracy of the genetic code in two manners: having more than one tRNA (with a specific anti-codon) for a particular amino acid; and 'wobble' base-pairing, i.e. permitting non-standard base-pairing at the 3rd anti-codon position. Lineage: Eukaryota; Metazoa; Chordata; Mammalia; Rodentia; Sciuridae. The record is from Rfam by way of RNAcentral. RNAcentral also lists the same sequence under 2 other names.
GGAGAUAUAGCUCAGUUGGUAGUGUUUGCAUCACAUGCAUAGGCCCUGGGUUCAAUCCCCAGUGCCACCA